UACAGAGGUCCCAAGCGUUGUUCGGAUUCACUGGGCGUAAAGGGUGCGCAGGUGGGUUUGCAAGUUCGAUGUGAAAGCCCCGGGCUUAACCCGGGAAUGGCAUUGGAUACUGCAGAUCUGGAGGAUCGGAGGGGGGACUGGAAUUCUUGGUGUAGCAGUGAAAUGCGUAGAUAUCGUUUGGAACGCCGAUGGUGAAAACAGGUUGCUGGGGCUGUGCUGACGCUGAGACACGAAAGCCAGGGGAGCGAACGGG
This 253-nucleotide ribosomal RNA is filed under the name uncultured bacterium. Its description in RNAcentral is "partial 16S ribosomal RNA". It matches the Rfam family "Bacterial small subunit ribosomal RNA", at positions 524 to 776 of the family's 1533-position model. The record is from RNAcentral.